AUGCAUAUCCAAUUGAUAUACUACAGAUACUUAACUACCGUAUGUAGACAAUUCAUAGUUAUAGUCCAUGAUUAAUUACAACUUGAUUCUUAACUACGUUAAGGGAGAAAUUUACAUCACUAGUCUAAAAUAAACUGGCAAGGGGACAGGAUCAUUUUAUUCAAAAGAGAAUGCUAAUGCUGCAACACAGAAAUAGCUUCGUUCAUCUCCAAGUUUGUUUACACAUUGGGGUUUGAAGUAUAUACCUGGAAAAGAAGGAGAAAAACAAAACCAGCAGCAACAAACAACAAGUAACAGUAGUUUCAGGCUAACUCCAAACCAAGAAAAUGGUAUCCAGCAACCCAGGAAAUAAUUUUAGGCAAGUAACACCAAUGAACACACGAAAAACAGCUUGAAUGAAUCAAACUCCCCUUCGAAAAUAACCUCAGACACCUUUUAAACCCAAUUAUAGAAACAUAAGAAACCUAAGUCAUUUCUUUAAACACAGGCCAAACAAUGAUUUAAUUUUGAACUUGAAAAGCCCAAAAUGCCUCUGAAUCUCUACUUCUACAGAAAUUAUUUUUGAAUUUUCAGUAGUUUUUCCUUAGUGGGUUUUUAUCUGAAUUUUGAAAUUUUCAAACUCUUCAAAGGUAUAGGAUUUGAAUUUUCCUUUUUUUGAAUUUCAAAAUUGUUGGAUCUCUAAACUUCCUGGAAACUUAUGGGAUUUUUUCAUAUUUUUCCAAAAAUUCCCCUAAACAAGGCAAUAGGCAUGCCUUUUAUAGGCAAACUUAGAGCAACCUUCAGAUUCAAUUUUACACCCUAAGCCCCCCUUUUAUCUUUAGAUUUUAGCUAUUUAGUCCCUUAAUUAUUGACUUAUUCGCCAAGUAACACUACCAACUUUCUGAAUUUCAAAUUAGGACCCCAUCUAGAAGAUUCUAGUGGUUUCCAAUUUCAAUUACUGCACUAUUCUCUAUUUUGAAAUACCUAUACUGCCCUUGAAUUAAUCCUAC
RNAcentral lists this long non-coding RNA (989 nucleotides) under Nicotiana benthamiana. RNAcentral's name for it is "long non-coding RNA (NBEN_LNC022872)". The record is from RNAcentral. Lineage: Eukaryota; Viridiplantae; Streptophyta; Magnoliopsida; Solanales; Solanaceae.